Molecule: long non-coding RNA, 418 nt
Organism: Ruditapes philippinarum (Manila clam)
Lineage: Eukaryota; Metazoa; Mollusca; Bivalvia; Venerida; Veneridae
Exons: 3
Source: RefSeq, a predicted model, not a curated record
UUAUCAUCUUUAAUACAUGGAGAUAUCUGUUAUUUUGAACAAGCAUCAAGUAACAUCGUCGAGGUUUUCUGACUACACAUAACAGCACUUUGGCAGAAUAUAAAUUAAAUAUGGUUGGCAAAUUAGUGUUUGUUUUUCUUGUGAUUGGAAUGCUUUCUUUGAUGUCGGUACAUCUUGCAGAGGCGUACGCUUGCUAUGACGUACACUCUGGAUGUCCGGCAGGUGAAAAAGUAGCAGGAUCAUUCUGUGAUGAUAGUUGUACUGGUGAUUUUAUUUGUUGCGAAGAUCCAUAACAGUAAGACAAUGUUGCAUCAUUUAGAAGAAAAAAAAUGGAUCUUCAACAGUUAAUAUAUUAACAUGUAUUUAUUUGUAUAUGUAAAUAUCUAAGUAGAAAAUAAAUCUUUAAGAAGUGAGAUAA